GGACCUAUAGCUCAAUUGGUUAGAGUACCGCCUCGACAUGGCGGGGGUUGAAAGUUCGAGUCUUUCUAGGUCCACCA
This 77-nucleotide transfer RNA is filed under the name Gammaproteobacteria bacterium. Its description in RNAcentral is "tRNA-Val". It matches the Rfam family "tRNA". Rfam says of the family: Transfer RNA (tRNA) molecules are approximately 80 nucleotides in length. Their secondary structure includes four short double-helical elements and three loops (D, anti-codon, and T loops). The record is from RNAcentral. Lineage: Bacteria; Pseudomonadati; Pseudomonadota; Gammaproteobacteria. RNAcentral also lists the same sequence under 4 other names.